Long non-coding RNA from Oxyura jamaicensis (ruddy duck), 648 nucleotides. RefSeq lists it as uncharacterized. The transcript has 3 exons. Lineage: Eukaryota; Metazoa; Chordata; Aves; Anseriformes; Anatidae. The record is from RefSeq and is a predicted model, not a curated record.
ACACCUCAACCCAAAUCCGCAGCGCGCCUCGCUCUGCUCGUCCUACUUCAGGGAGCUGCACAAAGGCUCCUUUCUCCUGCUCCGUGGUGGCAGCCGAGCACGGCACAGUUCUGCUGGGACACGUGCCGCAUCCUUUGCUGUUCCGUCCUGGCCUCACGCAGGUUGGUCGGUGCUAGGCUUGACCUUUAGCCAAAGUGCAGUUUUUGCGGGUAUCUGCAGCUACUUUUUCAGAACAGAGAUCAGUUGCUGAGCAUGCCUCUCUUCUGACAGCAGGGUACUAUUUCUGAUACUGCUCUGGGGAAACAACUCAAAUGUGUGGAGAGAGAGCUGGCGGCGGCGCAGUCAGAGGAGCUGCAUUGCCUUAAGACACCAGGCUACAAGCACCACCAGAGCUGAGCCUGUCUGGCGAUUUCUCAGCCUCCACCAGCAAAGUCAAACACCGCAGGAAAUGCCUUCCGCUCUGCAGGCGUCUCCAGCACCCCCACUCCCACUCCGUGAUCAAAGCUUCCCCUCGUCUCCUUUUAUCAUUUUAACAUGCUCUAGACUUCCUGCCUUCUCCACUGCAGCGCAUGCCCAGAGCCACCUGCCAGCCGAGCGCACCUCGAGCUCCCUGCGGGAGCCCCUGCUGACUACGUGGGAGAGUCAGAG